This 494-nucleotide ribosomal RNA is filed under the name uncultured bacterium. RNAcentral's name for it is "partial 16S ribosomal RNA". It matches the Rfam family "Bacterial small subunit ribosomal RNA", at positions 29 to 507 of the family's 1533-position model. The record is from RNAcentral.
ACGAACGCUGGCGGCGUGCCUAAUCCAUGCCAGUAGAACGCUGAAGGCGGAGCUUGCUUCUCCGGAUGAGUUGCGAACGGGUGAGUAACGCGUAGGUAACCUGCCUGGUAGCGGGGGAUAACUAUUGGAAACGAUAGCUAAUACCGCAUAACAGUAGAUGUUGCAUGACAUUUGCUUAAAAGGUGCAAUUGCAUCACUACCAGAUGGACCUGCGUUGUAUUAGCUAGUUGGUGAGGUAACGGCUCACCAAGGCGACGAUACAUAGCCGACCUGGGAGGGUGAUCAGCCACACUGGGACGGAGACACGGCCCAGACGCCUACGGGAGGCAGCAGUAGGGAAUCGUCGGCAAUGGACGGAAGUCUGACCGAGCAACGCCGCGGGAGUGAAGAAGGGUGUCGGAUCGUAAAGCUCUGUUGUAAGAGAAGAACGAGUGUGAGAGUGGAAAGUUCACACUGUGACGGUAUCUUACCAGAAAGGGACGGCUAACUACGUG